GGUUGUGGCUCAGUGGUAGAGCGCUCCCCUAGCAUGUAUGAGGCUCUGGGUUCAAACCUCUGCACCA
RNAcentral lists this transfer RNA (67 nucleotides) under Marmota monax (woodchuck). RNAcentral's name for it is "tRNA.Ala". The record is from RNAcentral. Lineage: Eukaryota; Metazoa; Chordata; Mammalia; Rodentia; Sciuridae.